UACGGAGGGUGCAAGCGUUGUUCGGAAUUACUGGGCGUAAAGGGCUCGUAGGUGGCCAACUAAGUCAUGCGUGAAAUCCCUCGGCUUAACCGGGGAACUGCGUCUGAUACUGGAUGGCUUGAGUUUGGGAGAGGGAUGCGGAAUUCCAGGUGUAGCGGUGAAAUGCGUAGAUAUCUGGAGGAACACCGGUGGCGAAGGCGGCAUCCUGGACCAACACUGACACUGAGGAGCGAAAGCCAGGGGAGCAAACGGG
RNAcentral lists this ribosomal RNA (253 nucleotides) under uncultured bacterium. RNAcentral's name for it is "partial 16S ribosomal RNA". It matches the Rfam family "Bacterial small subunit ribosomal RNA", at positions 524 to 776 of the family's 1533-position model. The record is from RNAcentral.